UACGUAGGAUCUAAACGUUGUUCGGAAUCACUGGGCGUAAAGGGUGUGUAGGCGGUCGUGUUAGUCCUUCGUAAAAGCCCGCGGGCUCAACCCGUGGAAUGCGGUGGAAACGGCACGACUAUUGAGGACGCGAGAGGUAGAGGGAACUCAUGGUGUAGGGGUGAAAUCCGUUGAUAUCAUGGGGAACACCAAAUGCGAAGGCACUCUACUGGCGCGCGCCUGACGCUGAGACACGAAAGCGUGGGAAUCGAACGGG
This 256-nucleotide ribosomal RNA is filed under the name uncultured bacterium. Its description in RNAcentral is "partial 16S ribosomal RNA". It matches the Rfam family "Bacterial small subunit ribosomal RNA", at positions 524 to 776 of the family's 1533-position model. The record is from RNAcentral.